Molecule: non-coding RNA, 1716 nt
Organism: Coffea arabica (coffee)
Lineage: Eukaryota; Viridiplantae; Streptophyta; Magnoliopsida; Gentianales; Rubiaceae
Source: RefSeq, a predicted model, not a curated record
CCAACAUCACCAUUAAGGUGAUGACCACUGGACCAAAUGGCCGGUGGCCGAGCAGUAUCUGGAUACACUAUAAAACAAGACUCUGGCUAGUAGGCUAGUAGCAAGUUCCGUAGUCCCCCAUACCAUCCCUUCAUUCUCUACAUUCAUUCCAUAAUUCCUUCCGAUACCUCCCUUACUUUUCGGCUGCGGUGUUGUCAAAAGGAGAAAACUUGCUGACUUGCUCUAACACCCACAUAUGCCCAUUCCCAACUCAAUCCCAUGAUCCCAUCCCCACACAGAGUCCACACACACCAAUAACGUCUCCUGCUCCUGGUCCAAAACCAAACCCCCAACCCAAUCGAGCCAACUCUCAACAUAUAUCUUUUUCGGCGUCCACAAUCUACAUCCAUCUUCGUCUCUCUUUGAUCACACGAACUUAGAUAGGGGUCCUCAGAAAGUACCACAGGCUUGUGUUUGAAGCAUCCAAACAGGAAAAAAAAAAACUGCGAGAUUUUCUUUAUGGAAAACAACCACCAAUCCCAACCUCUGCAGCCCACCAAAGCCUCCAGAUUCAAGCGCGUAUGUGUUUUUUGUGGCAGCAGUCCUGGCAAGAAUCCCAGUUACCAGCUGGCUGCUAUUCAGCUCGCCAAUCAGCUGGUUGAAAGGAACAUUGACCUUGUUUAUGGAGGUGGAAGCAUUGGGUUGAUGGGAUUAGUCUCCCAAGCUGUCUUCAAUGGUGGCCGCCACGUGUUAGGGGUGAUUCCCAUAACGCUUAUGCCCAGAGAGAUAACUGGAGAGACUGUUGGAGAAGUGAGGCCUGUGACUGGAAUGCACCAAAGAAAAGCUGAAAUGGCUCGACUGGCAGACGCAUUUAUAGCCUUACCUGGUGGCUACGGCACCUUGGAGGAGCUCCUAGAAGUUAUCACUUGGGCUCAGCUGGGGAUCCAUGACAAACCGGUAGGUUUGCUGAAUGUGGAGGGGUAUUAUAAUUCCCUUUUGUCUUUCAUAGACAAAGCUGUGGAUGAGGGCUUCAUUAGUCCCUCUGCUCGUCAUAUAAUCGUUUCUGCCCAAACUGCUCAUGAGCUCAUGUCCAAGCUUGAGGAGUAUGUUCCAAAGCAUAACGGGGUUGCUUCCAAGCUAAGCUGGGAGAUGGAGCAGCAAUUGGUAUACACAACAAAAUCGGACAUUGCUCGUUGACAGUCUCCGUCGGGUUGAAGGGGAGGUGAAGGGUAAAUUCUAGGAAGAAAGUGGAGAGGAGAAUGGAAGAUUUGAAUAUGAGACCCUCGCGUCCCUUUGUGAUAUUUAAUAUGCAAGAUGUGUAGGGCUUAAGAAGUUAGGAGGAGGAGAGGAGAUCUGAACCCAGGUCCUCGCUCGUUUAAUCCUAUCCUAUGACGUAAAGUGGUUAAAUCAUACAUAGACCUGACUAGGUGCAUUAUUGAUGAGUGAAUAGAUAGAUAAUUCUCCAUGAAUGGAUAAGACAGAGGAGCGAAAUCUUUGCCCAAAGAGUACACUACCAUCUUUAAUUUGCCAGACCAAAAUGGGACCUUACGCUUACAGUACGGCUAGCGCCCGUGUGUGCCAGGCACCAUCAGCAAUGGAGCAGGUACCAUUCAAGUUUGAUACUACAAUGAAUGCGAUUGUUGUAGUAGUAUUCACUAAUGGGAUUAGAGCAUGUAUGAUUGAAGUUCAUGUAUUUUUUGAAGUUCAACAAAGCAGUCAUCUGAAUGUGGCAUACUA